Molecule: non-coding RNA, 439 nt
Organism: Monodelphis domestica (gray short-tailed opossum)
Lineage: Eukaryota; Metazoa; Chordata; Mammalia; Didelphimorphia; Didelphidae
Source: RefSeq, a predicted model, not a curated record
AAUGAAUUUGCCAAUACUAUAAUAAAAAGUAUGCCUGCUGAAGUGGUGAAAAAAAUGAAUGAUAAUUUAAAACAGUGUAACACACCGCCGAAUUCAUGCCAUCUGCCAGGUGUACAAGAGGGAAAAUGUCAUUUUACAAAACAGGGUGAUCUUAUAGCAAUGAACUAAAACAACAAACCUGGAGUUGGGAUGAGUUUUUCCAGUCUCCACCAGAAGACCUGCAAGACCAAAGUCCUGACGUACCUUUUUUCUCUGAUGUUUUAAGCCAAGAACAUCCAUGUGAUUAAAGGAGUUCUUGAGUGUCAAAACUCAACUAAUGACUACCAUUUUAAUCUAACUAAUCAUUUUAAAUCAAAUGUGGGAAAAGCAGAAGUAUGCCUUGGCAGCCAGUACUUCUUUGCAUUUCUGUAACUAUUUGCUCAAUAAAUGACCUCAUUUC